RNAcentral lists this transfer RNA (72 nucleotides) under Ipomoea nil (Japanese morning glory). It matches the Rfam family "tRNA". From Rfam's summary of the family: Transfer RNA (tRNA) molecules are approximately 80 nucleotides in length. Their secondary structure includes four short double-helical elements and three loops (D, anti-codon, and T loops). Further hydrogen bonds mediate the characteristic L-shaped molecular structure. tRNAs have two regions of fundamental functional importance: the anti-codon, which is responsible for specific mRNA codon recognition, and the 3' end, to which the tRNAs corresponding amino acid is attached (by aminoacyl-tRNA synthetases). tRNAs cope with the degeneracy of the genetic code in two manners: having more than one tRNA (with a specific anti-codon) for a particular amino acid; and 'wobble' base-pairing, i.e. permitting non-standard base-pairing at the 3rd anti-codon position. Lineage: Eukaryota; Viridiplantae; Streptophyta; Magnoliopsida; Solanales; Convolvulaceae. The record is from Rfam by way of RNAcentral.
GGUUCCAUGGUGUAGUGGUUAGCACUUUGGACUUUGAAUCCAGUGACCUGGGUUCAACUCCCGGUGGGACCU